GUCUGAAUCAGCUUGUGUGUUAGUGGAAGCGUCUGGAAAGUCGCAGGGUACAGGGUGAUACUCCCGUACACUAAAACACACAGGUUGUGAACUCGAAGAGUAGGGCGGGACACGUGGUAUCCUGUCUGAAUAUGGGGGGACCAUCCUCCAAGGCUAAAUACUCCUGACUGACCGAUAGUGAACCAGUACCGUGAGGGAAAGGCGAAAAGAACCCCGGCGAGGGGAGUGAAAAAGAACCUGAAACCGUGUACGUACAAGCAGUAGGAGCCCACUAGUUGGGUGACUGCGUACCUUUUGUAUAAUGGGUCAGCGACUUAUAUUCUGUAGCAAGGUUAACCGUAUAGGGGAGCCGCAGGGAAACCGAGUCUUAACUGGGCGUUAAGUUGCAGGGUAUAGACCCGAAACCCGGUGAUCUAGCCAUGGGCAGGUUGAAGGUUGGGUAACACUAACUGGAGGACCGAACCGACUAAUGUUGAAAAAUUAGCGGAUGACUUGUGGCUGGGGGUGAAAGGCCAAUCAAACCGGGAGAUAGCUGGUUCUCCCCGAAAGCUAUUUAGGUAGCGCCUCGUGAACUCAUCUUCGGGGGUAGAGCACUGUUUCGGCUAGGGGGUCAUCCCGACUUACCAACCCGAUGCAAACUACGAAUACCG
RNAcentral lists this ribosomal RNA (650 nucleotides) under Klebsiella michiganensis. RNAcentral's name for it is "partial 23S ribosomal RNA". It matches the Rfam family "Bacterial large subunit ribosomal RNA", at positions 308 to 965 of the family's 2925-position model. Lineage: Bacteria; Pseudomonadati; Pseudomonadota; Gammaproteobacteria; Enterobacterales; Enterobacteriaceae. The record is from RNAcentral.